GAGACUCUGUGCGCGUGCAUAUCAAUAAGCGGAGGAAAAGAAACUAACAAGGAUUCCCCUAGUAACGGCGAGUGAAGCGGGAAGAGCUCAAAUUUGAAAUCUUAAAGGGUUUCCCUUUACGAAUUGUAGUUUAAAGAAGUGUUUUCUGUUGGAGUUUUCGGUAAAAGUUCUUUGGAAUAGGACAUCAUAGAGGGUGAGAAUCCCGUAUUUGACCAUUACUUUCCAGCUGUGUGAUACACUUUCAAAGAGUCGGAUUGUUUGGGAAUGCAGUCCAAAAUGGGUGGUAAAUUUCAUCUAAAGCUAAAUAUUGGCGAGAGACCGAUAGCGAACAAGUACCGUGAGGGAAAGAUGAAAAGAACUUUGAAAAGAGAGUUAAACAGUACGUGAAAUUGUCAAAAGAGAAGCGUUUGACACCAGUGUUGUUUAGUUGAAAAUCAAUUCAAUAAUUUUUGAUUUUGAGUAGUAUUGACUUCAUCAGCUUGCUGCUUUCUUUUCCGAAAUUAUUGAAUGCACUUUUCAGUUAACAAGUCAACAUCAAUUUCUUUUGUUGUAAAAGGGUAAGAGGAAGGUGGCUUACGCUUCGGCGUAAGUGUUUAUAGCCUUUUAUCUCUGCAAUCGGAGAGAUUGAGGUCUGCAGCGUAGAUCCUUCGGGGUUAGAUACAUUGGUGCUAAGCUAUAGCCUUGUAUAGACAACUUGUUGACUAUGCUCAGUCAUGUAGCUUACUCGCUGAUGCUAUUUUACCUACGCUUAGGAUGUUGAUCUGUAGUGCGUGCGC
This 776-nucleotide ribosomal RNA is filed under the name uncultured Neocallimastigales. RNAcentral's name for it is "partial large subunit ribosomal RNA". It matches the Rfam family "Eukaryotic large subunit ribosomal RNA", at positions 23 to 646 of the family's 3401-position model. Lineage: Eukaryota; Fungi; Neocallimastigomycota; Neocallimastigomycetes; Neocallimastigales. The record is from RNAcentral.